RNAcentral lists this long non-coding RNA (1990 nucleotides) under Calidris pugnax (ruff). Its description in RNAcentral is "lncRNA (ENSCPUG00000015155.1)". The record is from RNAcentral. Lineage: Eukaryota; Metazoa; Chordata; Aves; Charadriiformes; Scolopacidae.
CCUGGGGCCACCUGGCCUGGCAGAGCGUGUGGCGCUGGCUCCCCUGUGCGUGCCUUGGUGGGAUCCUGGCGGAAGGCCGGGGUCCCCCAGGACUGGGGCCACCCUCCCUGCCCUGGCACGCCAUGGGUGCCCUGCCUGCCGGGGGAUCCUGCCCGGCCCUUGGUACCCCACUGCCAGGGUGCCCCCAGCUGCCCCCCUCUCCAGGGCAUCCCCACGGCCCUGCCCCCAGGGAGGGAGGCCCAGCACCCACCUCCCCGCUGGACCCGUGGCCUCAAGAAGGCUCCUCAGCUUCAUCUCCGCUUGCUUCACACAGGAGAAGGCUUGCUCUUCACUCUGCUGCUGGCUGUGGAGUUUGUCCAGAGAUGCCUCAGCACGGCCAUCUCCAGCCUGAGAGAGACUGUCGCUGUGAACAGGAAGAGGCUCGUGGCGAUCCUCUUGGUGAUGAGCCUGGCUGCUCUCGCUGCUGCCUGCUGGGGAAUCGUGCAGCUGACGUGGAGGCAGCGGGCAGAGGAUGUGCUGCAGAUUGGCUUUUCUGGUGGCCGCGUGGAACAAUCUCCCUGUCUGAGGAACGAGGUCGUGUGCCUGGCUGAUGAGAUGGACACCAUGAAGAAAGCGAUGCUGCAGCCGGACGAUUUCCCGACCUGCUGCUGGCCCUUCCAAGAGUCUGGGAGCGAGGUGCUGAGCUGGUUACCGGCACAAAUACCUCUGCAGGCCGUCAGUGUGCAGCAGAGCUCCGAGAGAGCCUCUCCGCUGGGGACUGCCAUCAGCGCCCGCCGAGAUGUUGCUGUCUGUGGCCUGGAUGAGGAAGGCGAGGAGGCAACUCUGCUGGGGACGUGGAGCUGCAGCAGGCAGGAGAAGCCCCACCAGAGCUUGCCUCUGCAGAAUGGGAUCCCCGGCGCCUUUCAGCUCACAAAUCCUGGCAAUUGGAGCAGCUCGGGAACCCCAGCACAGAGGCUGAUAGAUCGGGUGCUGGCGAUGGGGAAGAUGGUGGGAAGAUGGUGGGCGUCAUUAGACCUGUUUUCUUCAAUAAAAUUUCCCGUGUAAAAAGGAGACUCAGGCCAGAGGGAUGCGGCUGUUGGUCUGGUGCAGAGCAAGGUGGUCUCAGAGGCCCUCUCCGAGCUGCCAGCUCCUGCCUUUCGCAGGCAGAGGCCUUCCUCAGGCUUUGCGCUUUCAUCCACCAAGGGCAUCUUUCCUGACCCGGCAAAAGGAGACGACGCUCCUGAAGCCUUUCCCUGCCUCAGGUCCUUGGCAAAAUCCUUUGUCACCAGGGUCGCCUCUGGCCCCUGUAAGGAGUCGUCGGAGCCUGUCAGCAUCUGGGGCUCCUGAUGGCCAGGCUCUGGCCCAUUCCCUUCAGGGAACACGUUGGAUCUGGGGACUGGGUCUAGUGGGGACCCACAUGGUGCAGCCACGUCUGGGACAUGCCUCCAGGAAAGGAUGGAGAUUCUCCUUUGCCCUCCUUUUGUUGCUACUCUAUCUAGACAGACAUUUUCUGGUGCUUUUUACAGCAGUAGCCAGAUGAAGUUCUAGCUGGGCUUUGGCGCUUCUCAUUUUCUCUUGGCGUAACCUCAGAAGUCCUUCAAAGCCCGGAAGCUCUCCUUUUGUCCCCUCCCCUGACUGCCAGCCAAAGCUCUCUGGUCAGCCAGGCCGGUCUUCUUCCCUGCCACCUUGUCUUUGGGCACAUGGCAAUAGCCUGCUCCCGCGCCAUGAAGAUCUCCUUGUCAGAAGCACCUGCAUUUGGUCAAGAGCUCUGCCAAAGGGCACCAAAGAAGCCAUCAGGAGGAUGGCAUGGUCGCACCCGCCACCAUGUUCCGCUCUGCCACACUGUGCUCAGGGGAGAGCAGGACGCAGUCUCGGGGGGAACAGGCCAGUCCCUCUCCAGGCACUGCCCCAGCUGGGUCCUGGCCAGGCAUGGCAGGGCCUGGAGAGACACAAAAUGUCUGGGUGCCACUGAAGGUCCCAGGCGGGGAGAAGGCCUUGGAGCAGUGGCCAG